This 669-nucleotide ribosomal RNA is filed under the name Triticum aestivum (bread wheat). RNAcentral describes it as "partial small subunit ribosomal RNA". Lineage: Eukaryota; Viridiplantae; Streptophyta; Magnoliopsida; Poales; Poaceae. The record is from RNAcentral.
AUGGGAUCGCAGCCGCCGCCGCCGUUUCACUUCGGCCAUCUCAUCACCAUCAAGUUGUCGUCGGACAAUUACAUCUUCUGGCGCGCGCAGGUUCUUCCGCUUCUUGGGAGUCACUAUCUGCUUGGCUAUGUCGACGGCUCUCUCCCUUGCCCUCCUGCGCUGGUUGACAGCGUGCACGGUCCGGUCUAUAAUCCGGCUCACCGUGUCUGGACAGGGCAGGAUCAGGCGAACCUCUCCUCCAUCCAGGGGUCGCUCUCUCCGGCCGUUGCUGGGCUUGUUGUCUUCGCCAAGACGUCCCACGAGGCAUGGACUAUUCUUGAGCGCUCGUUUGCGGCACAGUCGCAGGCUCGUGUAUCUGGGCUCCGUCGCCAACUUGGGGAGUGUCAGAAGCUUGACUCCACCGCCACUGAGUUCUACAACAAAGUCAAGAGUCUCGCCGAUACGCUGGCCUCCAUUGGACAGCCCCUCACCGACUCCGAGUUCAACUCGUUUAUUGUCAAUGGUCUUGAUGAGGAGUAUGACGCCCUAGUCGAGAUCAUCAAUGAGAGGGGCAACUCCACGCCCAUGCCAGCACACGAGGUCUUUUCACGCCUCCUGCUUACUGAGCAACGAGUCGAGACGCGCCGAUCCAGGGGCAACGGCGCCCUCUCGGCAAACGCCGCCACCAAG